GAUGAACGCUGGCGGCGUGCUUAACACAUGCAAGUCGAACGGAAAGGCUCCUGCUUGCAGGGGUACUCGAGCGGCGAACGGGUGAGUAACACGUGGGUGAUCUGCCCUGCACUUCGGGAUAAGCCUGGGAAACUGGGUCUAAUACCGGAUAGGACCACAUUUUGGAUGGUGUGGUGGAAAGUUUUUCGGUGUGGGAUGAGCUCGCGGCCUAUCAGCUUGUUGGGGGGGUAAUGGCCUACCAAGGCGUCGACGGGUAGCCGGCCUGAGAGGGUGUACGGCCACAUUGGGACUGAGAUACGGCCCAGACUCCUACGGGAGGCGGCAGUGGGGAAUAUUGCACAAUGGGCGCAAGCCUGAUGCAGCGACGCCGCGUGGGGGAUGACGGCCUUCGGGUUGUAAACUCCUUUCGCUAGGGACGAAGCGCAAGUGACGGUACCUGGAGAAGAAGCACCGGCUAACUACGUG
RNAcentral lists this ribosomal RNA (465 nucleotides) under uncultured bacterium. RNAcentral describes it as "partial 16S ribosomal RNA". It matches the Rfam family "Bacterial small subunit ribosomal RNA", at positions 28 to 507 of the family's 1533-position model. The record is from RNAcentral.